AGAAUUCUAGGUCGGAGGGU
This 20-nucleotide microRNA is filed under the name Sus scrofa (pig). Its description in RNAcentral is "ssc-miR-9786-3p". The record is from miRBase by way of RNAcentral. Lineage: Eukaryota; Metazoa; Chordata; Mammalia; Artiodactyla; Suidae.